AAACCAUUUCAGUGGAUCCCUUGGCUCGUGGGUCGAUGAAGAACGCAGCUAAUUGCGCGUUGCCAUGUGA
This is a non-coding RNA of Arabis alpina (gray rockcress), 70 nucleotides long. The record is from Rfam. Lineage: Eukaryota; Viridiplantae; Streptophyta; Magnoliopsida; Brassicales; Brassicaceae.